Esox lucius (northern pike) is the source of this 786-nucleotide long non-coding RNA. Lineage: Eukaryota; Metazoa; Chordata; Actinopteri; Esociformes; Esocidae. The record is from Ensembl.
GUUGUUGGGGUGUUAUGCAAAGAGAAGGUAUUGCGUAUUGGAUACAGCUACGGGGAGAGCUAAAAGAUGAAGACUUGUUUGCUGUGGAUCUCCUGGACGAAGCACUUUUGAAACUUUGUUUCACGAACAUCAUCCAGGAAAGAUCCAGAAGGGCCCCCUCACCAUCUGCAACCAUGAGCACUCAGGUGCGGAAGAGAAGAUUGUAGCAGAGCUGCGAGAAGGUGUAUGACCCCCUGGCCCCAGACUUCCACUUGCAGGCCCUGAUUCGCACAGCUGGCAAGUUGGUAUGCCUCAAAGACGCCGGCCACAAGAUCCAGCAGUUCUCCAAGAAAGUGUCUAUCCCACCAUCAUGGACGAUGAAACGAUCAGGGCAGCUGCUUCUGGGAGGAAGAUACUCGACCAGAUCCUGCAGCGCCGUGCCACCUCUUUCACCACCAAGAGAGGACAAGGGCUCCACUUUCUCUAAGGCCAGUUUAUGUUGCCUCUGAGAAUCGCAAUGACAUCACACUGGAUGAGCCAGAGGACAAACAUCCAACAGGCCUCUGCUGUCUGUUUCCAGAGCACCUUCUGAGACUGAUAGACACAAUGACACACAUGCUCAAAACAGGCCUCUUAAGGCAUGGGUGAAAUUGUUACUCUAUUGCCUACAUACACUCAUUCAGACACGCACUCACCAUCAAUGCGUGUGUAUUGAUCUGAGCGUCCUGAGAAGGGCCAGCAAUGGAAUGAGCUGUCUGAGUACUGAACACUUAAGAUGAUUUCCAGGACUGAUGCAGCACUAAUUGG